This 253-nucleotide ribosomal RNA is filed under the name uncultured bacterium. RNAcentral's name for it is "partial 16S ribosomal RNA". It matches the Rfam family "Bacterial small subunit ribosomal RNA", at positions 524 to 776 of the family's 1533-position model. The record is from RNAcentral.
UACGAAGGGGGCUAGCGUUGCUCGGAAUCACUGGGCGUAAAGCGCACGUAGGCGGCUUUCUAAGUCAGGGGUGAAAUCCUGGAGCUCAACUCCAGAACUGCCUUUGAUACUGGAGAGCUUGAGUCCGGAAGAGGUGAGUGGAACUCCGAGUGUAGAGGUGAAAUUCGUAGAUAUUCGGAAGAACACCAGUGGCGAAGGCGGCUCACUGGUCCGGUACUGACGCUGAUGUGCGAAAGCGCGGGGAGCAAACAGG